Molecule: ribosomal RNA, 389 nt
Filed under: Pseudomonas sp. I-06
Lineage: Bacteria; Pseudomonadati; Pseudomonadota; Gammaproteobacteria; Pseudomonadales; Pseudomonadaceae
Description: bacterial SSU rRNA
Rfam family: Bacterial small subunit ribosomal RNA
Source: RNAcentral
ACUGCGGCAGGCUACACAUGCACGUCGAUGCGGUAGAGAGAAGCUUGCUUCUCUUGAGAGCGGCGGACGGGUGAGUAAUGCCUAGGAAUCUGCCUGGUAGUGGGGGAUAACGUUCGGAAACGAGACGCUAAUACCGCAUACGUCCUACGGGAGAAAGCAGGGGACCUUCGGGCCUUGCGCUAUCAGAUGAGCCUAGGUCGGAUUAGCUGAGUUGGUGAGAGUAAUGGCUCACCAAGGACGACGCAUCCGUAACUGGUCUGAGAAGGAUGAAUCAGUCGACACUGGAAACUGAGACACGGUCCAGACUCCUACGGGAAGGCAAGCAAUGGGGAAUAUUGGACAAUGGGCGAAAGCCUGAUCCAACCAUGCCGCGUGUGUGAAGAAAAGUC